This is a small nucleolar RNA of Nicotiana attenuata, 106 nucleotides long. The record is from Rfam. Lineage: Eukaryota; Viridiplantae; Streptophyta; Magnoliopsida; Solanales; Solanaceae.
GGCGACUGUGAUGAUGAUAACAUUUUUUCUCAGCUCAUUAUGAGACCUUAUUUUUAAGGUCUAGAAAUAUACUCCGUUUCCAACACAUAUAUGUCUGAGCUUCACC